RNAcentral lists this ribosomal RNA (253 nucleotides) under uncultured bacterium. Its description in RNAcentral is "partial 16S ribosomal RNA". It matches the Rfam family "Bacterial small subunit ribosomal RNA", at positions 524 to 776 of the family's 1533-position model. The record is from RNAcentral.
UACGGAGGGGGCUAGCGUUGUUCGGAGUUACUGGGCGUAAAGCGCACGCAGGCGGUCUGCUAAGUUUGGAGUGACAGUUGGUGGCUUAACUGCCAAAGUGCUUCGAAAACUGACAGACUUGAGGGCUUCAGAGGGACACGGAAUUCCGGGUGGAGUGGUGAAAUGCGUAGAGAUCCGGAGGGACACCAAAGGCGAAGGCAGUGUCCUGGGGAGUACCUGACGCUCAGGUGCGAAAGCCAGGGGAGCGAACGGG